This 468-nucleotide ribosomal RNA is filed under the name uncultured bacterium. Its description in RNAcentral is "partial 16S ribosomal RNA". It matches the Rfam family "Bacterial small subunit ribosomal RNA", at positions 28 to 507 of the family's 1533-position model. The record is from RNAcentral.
GACGAACGCUGGCGGCGUGCUUAACACAUGCAAGUCGAACGGAAAGGCCCUGCUUUUGUGGGGUGCUCGAGUGGCGAACGGGUGAGUAACACGUGAGUAACCUGCCCUUGACUUUGGGAUAACUUCAGGAAACUGGGGCUAAUACCGGAUAGGCGCUCCUGCUGCAUGGUGGGGGUUGGAAAGUUUCGGCGGUUGGGGAUGGACUCGCGGCUUAUCAGCUUGUUGGUGGGGUAGUGGCUUACCAAGGCUUUGACGGGUAGCCGGCCUGAGAGGGUGACCGGCCACAUGGGGACUGAGAUAAGGCCCAGAGUCCGAUGGGAGGCAGGAGUGGAGAAAAUUGCAAAAAGGGCGGAAGCCUGAUGCAGCAACGCCGCGUGCGGGAUGACGGCCUUCGGGUUGUAAACCGCUUUCGCCUGUGACGAAGCGUGAGUGAUGGUAAUGGGUAAAGAAGCACCGGCUAGCUACGUG